CGGGCCGUAGUGUAUCGGCAACAUGCACGGUUCGGGUCCGUGAGAUAGAGGGUUCGACUCCCUCCGGCCCGACCU
This 75-nucleotide transfer RNA is filed under the name Candidatus Giovannonibacteria bacterium RIFCSPHIGHO2_01_FULL_48_47. RNAcentral's name for it is "tRNA-Pro". It matches the Rfam family "tRNA". Rfam says of the family: Transfer RNA (tRNA) molecules are approximately 80 nucleotides in length. Their secondary structure includes four short double-helical elements and three loops (D, anti-codon, and T loops). The record is from RNAcentral. RNAcentral also lists the same sequence under 5 other names. Lineage: Bacteria; Candidatus Giovannoniibacteriota.